This is a long non-coding RNA of Onychostoma macrolepis, 446 nucleotides long. RefSeq lists it as uncharacterized. The record is from RefSeq and is a predicted model, not a curated record. The transcript is spliced from 3 exons. Lineage: Eukaryota; Metazoa; Chordata; Actinopteri; Cypriniformes; Cyprinidae.
AAUCUACAGAUGUAAAUGAUGAUCUCUUCAGUUCUCUCGUCUCUUUUGAUGAUCUGAGAGAAUCUGUCCAUCAGCUGAGAGACAAACUGGAGGAUUUCUGCAAAGAGGAGCUCAAGAAGAUCUCAGACAGAGAAACAUUCACCAACAUUGUUCCUAGGACCAGGAACCACUUCCUACAAUAUUCCCAUCAGUUCACUCUGGAUCUGAACACAGUGAAUAAACGCCUCCGUCUGUCUGAGAGCAACAGAGUUAUUACUGUCACUGACACAGUCCAGUCGUAUCCUGAUCAUCCAGACAAAUUUGAUUAUUGGUGUCAGGUGUUGUGUAGAGAGAGUGUGUGUGGACGCUGUUACUGGGAGCUGGAGUGGAGUGGAGAUGAUGUGUGUAUAUCAGUGUCAUAUAAGAGCAUCAGCAGGAAGGGACGGGGUUAUGAGUGUGUGUUUGGA